Molecule: ribosomal RNA, 63 nt
Filed under: Verticillium dahliae
Lineage: Eukaryota; Fungi; Ascomycota; Sordariomycetes; Glomerellales; Plectosphaerellaceae
Description: partial 28S ribosomal RNA
Rfam family: Eukaryotic large subunit ribosomal RNA
Source: RNAcentral
ACGGUUGACCUCGGAUCAGGUAGGAAUACCCGCUGAACUUAAGCAUAUCAAUAAGCGGAGGAG